Molecule: ribosomal RNA, 226 nt
Filed under: uncultured bacterium
Lineage: Bacteria
Description: partial 16S ribosomal RNA
Rfam family: Bacterial small subunit ribosomal RNA
Source: RNAcentral
UACGAAGGGGGCUAGCGUUGCUCGGAAUCACUGGGCGUAAAGCGCACGUAGGCGGAUCUUUAAGUCAGGGGUGAAAUCCUGGAGCUCAACUCCAGAACUGCCUUUGAUACUGAGAAGCUUGAGUCCGGGAGAGGUGAGUGGAACUGCGAGUGUAGAGGUGAAAUUCGUAGAUAUUCGCAAGAACACCAGUGGCGAAGGCGGCUCGCUGCCGUGGUCGGUACUGACA